RNAcentral lists this ribosomal RNA (440 nucleotides) under uncultured bacterium. RNAcentral describes it as "partial 16S ribosomal RNA". It matches the Rfam family "Bacterial small subunit ribosomal RNA", at positions 338 to 795 of the family's 1533-position model. The record is from RNAcentral.
GCUACGGGUGGCAGCAGUGGGGAAUAUUGCGCAAUGGGGGCAACCCUGACGCAGCAACGCCGCGUGAUUGAAGACGGCCUUCGGGUUGUAAAGAUCUUUAAUCGGGGACGAAUUUUGACGGUACCCGAAGAAUAAGCUCCGGCUAACUACGUGCCAGCAGCCGCGGUAAUACGGAGGAUGCGAGCGUUAUCCGGAUUUAUUGGGUUUAAAGGGUGCGCAGGCGGAGGCACAAGUCAGCGGUAAAAUCGCGGGGCUCAACCCCGCUCCGCCGUUGAAACUGUGUCCCUUGAGUGCGCGAAGGGUAGGCGGAAUGCGUGGUGUAGCGGUGAAAUGCAUAGAUAUCACGCAGAACUCCGAUCGCGAAGGCAGCCUACCGGCGCGCAACUGACGCUCAUGCACGAAAGCGUGGGUAUCGAACAGGAUUAGAUACCCGUGUAGUC